RNAcentral lists this ribosomal RNA (433 nucleotides) under uncultured bacterium. RNAcentral's name for it is "partial 16S ribosomal RNA". It matches the Rfam family "Bacterial small subunit ribosomal RNA", at positions 29 to 507 of the family's 1533-position model. The record is from RNAcentral.
AACGAACGCUGGCGGCAUGCCUAACACAUGCAAGUCGAACGAACCCUUCGGGGUUAGUGGCGCACGGGUGCGUAACGCGUGGGAAUCUGCCCUUUGCUUCGGAAUAACUCAGGGAAACUUGUGCUAAUACCGGAUGAUGUCUUCGGACCAAAGAUUUAUCGGCAAGGGAUGAGCCCGCGUAGGAUUAGGUAGUUGGUGGGGUAAAGGCCUACCAAGCCAACGAUCCUUAGCUGGUCUGAGAGGAUGAUCAGCCACACUGGGACUGAGACACGGCCCAGACUCCUACGGGAGGCAGCAGUGGGGAAUAUUGGACAAUGGGCGCAAGCCUGAUCCAGCAAUGCCGCGUGAGUGAUGAAGGCCCUCGGGUCGUAAAGCUCUUUUACCAGGGAUGAUAAUGACAGUACCUGGAGAAUAAGCUCCGGCUAACUCCGUG